Cornus florida is the source of this 165-nucleotide long non-coding RNA. RefSeq lists it as uncharacterized. Lineage: Eukaryota; Viridiplantae; Streptophyta; Magnoliopsida; Cornales; Cornaceae. The record is from RefSeq and is a predicted model, not a curated record. The transcript is spliced from 2 exons.
CCGAGGCAUCCAAAAUUUUUUUUUUUUUUUUCUCCGAUAUACCAAAGCAAGAACAAGAAGACCGAAGCAUCCAAAAUUUUUUUUUUUUUUUCUCCGAUAUACCAAAGCAAGAACAAGAAGACCGAAGUCUCAAAUUUUUUUUUUUUUUUUUUUUUUUUUUUUUUU